Long non-coding RNA from Magnolia sinica, 327 nucleotides. RefSeq lists it as uncharacterized. The transcript has 2 exons. The record is from RefSeq and is a predicted model, not a curated record. Lineage: Eukaryota; Viridiplantae; Streptophyta; Magnoliopsida; Magnoliales; Magnoliaceae.
GUUGAGAAGUAAAACUCUGCAUGCCUAAAAAAGUCAUAUGGAUGGAAUGGCAUUUCCUUUUUAGUAUUGGGACCCAAUCCAAGUAAAACCCAAAACAGCACUAUGGCCCAUCAAAACUAGCAUUUUCAUUUGUUCAAUAGGACAAUUGUGUAGGUGGGGCCCACCUUUUUAUUUUUUUAGUUUAUUUGUUUUCUAGUGGUACCCAUCUUUCUUUGGGCUUGUGUCUGCUCCUCUCAGACAAUCAUAGACAUCCAAUUGCUAGCUUUCAGGUGGACGCCAUCCAAUGGUCCACAUUUAAUAGGGGCUUGAUCAGACAGUUUAUCUUCA